GAUGAACGCUGGCGGCGUGCUUAACACAUGCAAGUCGAGCGAGAAGGCUGUGACUGAUUCUUCGGAUGAAGAAGCAGCUGGAAAGCGGCGGACGGGUGAGUAACGCGUGGGUAACCUGCCUUGUACAGAGGGAUAGCCACUGGAAACGGUGAUUAAUACCUCAUAAAACUAAAGCAUCGCAUGGCGCAUUAGUCAAAAUUCAGGUGGUACAAGAUGGACCCGCGCCUGAUUAGCUAGGUUGGUAGGGUAAUGGCCUACCAAGGCGACGAUCAGUAGCCGACCUGAGAGGGUGAUCGGCCACGACUGGAACUGAGACACGGUCCAGACUCCUA
RNAcentral lists this ribosomal RNA (332 nucleotides) under uncultured Bacillota bacterium. Its description in RNAcentral is "bacterial SSU rRNA". It matches the Rfam family "Bacterial small subunit ribosomal RNA", at positions 28 to 341 of the family's 1533-position model. The record is from RNAcentral. Lineage: Bacteria; Bacillati; Bacillota.